RNAcentral lists this ribosomal RNA (354 nucleotides) under uncultured Coriobacteriales bacterium. RNAcentral's name for it is "bacterial SSU rRNA". It matches the Rfam family "Bacterial small subunit ribosomal RNA", at positions 1 to 339 of the family's 1533-position model. The record is from RNAcentral. Lineage: Bacteria; Bacillati; Actinomycetota; Coriobacteriia; Coriobacteriales.
AGUAGUUUGAUCAGUGGCUCAGGACGAACGCUGGCGGCGUGCUUAACACAUGCAAGUCGAACGGGGAUUAUUGGAAUGAGAGCUUCGGCAGGAUUUCUGGUAAUUCCAGUGGCGGACGGGUGAGUAACGCGUGAGCAACCUGUCCCAGACAGGGGGAUAACACUUGGAAACAGGUGCUAAUACCGCAUGAGACCACAGCAUCACAUGGUGCAGGGGUAAAAGGUGCAAACCGGUUUGGGGUGGGCUCGCGUCCGAUUAGAUAGUUGGUGAGGUAACGGCCCACCAAGUCGACGAUCGGUAGCCGACCUGAGAGGGUGAUCGGCCACAUUGGAACUGAGAGACGGUCCAAACUCC